AGUGAACGCUGGCGGUAGGCCUAACACAUGCAAGUCGAACGGCAGCACAGUAAGAGCUUGCUCUUACGGGUGGCGAGUGGCGGACGGGUGAGGAAUACAUCGGAAUCUACUUUUUCGUGGGGGCUAACGUAGGGAAACUUACGCUAAUACCGCAUACGACCUACGGGUGAAAGCAGGGGAUCUUCGGACCUUGCGCGAAGGAAUGAGCCGAUGUCGGAUUAGCUAGUUGGCGGGGUAAAGGCCCACCAAGGCGACGAUCCGUAGCUGGUCUGAGAGGAUGAUCAGCCACACUGGAACUGAGACACGGUCCAGACUCCUACGGGAGGCAGCAGUGGGGAAUAUUGGACAAUGGGCGCAAGCCUGAUCCAGCCAUACCGCGUGGGUGAAGAAGGCCUUCGGGUUGUAAAGCCCUUUUGUUGGGAAAGAAAAGCAGCAGGUUAAUACCCCGCUGUUCUGACGGUACCCAAAGAAUAAGCACCGGCUAACUUCGUG
Molecule: ribosomal RNA, 492 nt
Filed under: uncultured bacterium
Lineage: Bacteria
Description: partial 16S ribosomal RNA
Rfam family: Bacterial small subunit ribosomal RNA
Source: RNAcentral